This 497-nucleotide ribosomal RNA is filed under the name uncultured bacterium. RNAcentral describes it as "partial 16S ribosomal RNA". It matches the Rfam family "Bacterial small subunit ribosomal RNA", at positions 28 to 507 of the family's 1533-position model. The record is from RNAcentral.
GAUGAACGCUGGCGGCGUGUCUAAUACAUGCAAGUCGAGCGAACGGACGAGAAGCUUGCUUCUCUGAUGUUAGCGGCGGACGGGUGAGUAACACGUGGAUAACCUACCUAUAAGACUGGGAUAACUUCGGGAAACCGUAGCUAAUACCGGAUAAUAUUUUGAACCGCAUGGUUCAAAAGUGAAAGACGGUCUUGCUGUCACUUAUAGAUGGAUCCGCGCUGCAUUAGCUAGUUGGUAAGGUAACGGCUUACCAAGGCAACGAUGCAUAGCCGACCUGAGAGGGUGAUAGGCCACACUGGAACUGAGACACGGUCCAGACUCCUACGGGAGGCAGCAGUAGGGAAUCUUCCGCAAUGGGCGAAAGCCUGACGGAGCAACGCCGCGUGAGUGAUGAAGGUCUUCGGAUCGUAAAACUCUGUUAUUAGGGAAGAACAUAUGUGUAAGUAACUGUGCACAUCUUGACGGUACCUAAUCAGAAAGCCACGGCUAACUACGUG